Molecule: non-coding RNA, 97 nt
Filed under: Streptomyces davaonensis JCM 4913
Lineage: Bacteria; Bacillati; Actinomycetota; Actinomycetes; Kitasatosporales; Streptomycetaceae
Description: Streptomyces davawensis JCM 4913 Streptomyces RNA 3202
Rfam family: Streptomyces RNA 3202
About the family: Identified by deep sequencing of transcriptome at the end of exponential growth phase.
Source: Rfam by way of RNAcentral
CCAAGUCCCGUCGCGAUAACCCCCCCCGGCGCCGGGACUCUCCCGAGCCGGGUCUCGGCGCCCUAACCCCCCCUGGGCGCCGGGGUCCGGCUCCUUU